Long non-coding RNA from Phragmites australis (common reed), 461 nucleotides. RefSeq lists it as uncharacterized. The transcript is spliced from 2 exons. Lineage: Eukaryota; Viridiplantae; Streptophyta; Magnoliopsida; Poales; Poaceae. The record is from RefSeq and is a predicted model, not a curated record.
GGAGGAGGUGUUCGAGGUGGCGCCAAGGAUUGCCCACCACACUAAUAUUAAGGGGGCUUGGCCUUUCUUCUCUAGGGGGUCCUGGCCUCUCAGCUUCCCUACAGUGAAGGAAGGACAUGAUCAAGACGAAUGAGAUCACAAGGGCAUGUCGGUAAUCAUGGGAGCUUUUUGGAUAGAUUUGAAGCAGAUAGGGUUAUACACACCCUCAUGAUCCGAGUUAGAGGGGGAUAAAAAGUUUGAGGAACAUGAAUACUUAUUAUUAUGCAGAACGAUGAAAUGUUUGACAUGGAUUGAUGAGAGAGGGAUAAAGGAACUGAAUAACUUGUGAUGCUUGCCCUAUUUCCUUUUUGUUUUGGUGCUACAAAAUUCAUCUUUUCAGGUUUUCACAUGUGCCAUGGUGAUCCGUUUCAUUUUUCGUUCCAAUCUCAGGUUGAUGAAUGUCAAAUUUGGCUUCUAUAUUA